ACGUCUCCAUUCUACGAGCGAUAAAGUUGUGUCGGAGAACGAAAAAAAGUAGGAGUAAACGGAGGCUGAUCGAAAGAAAUGAUAUAAAAUUAGAAUUGUGUACAGUAAAGAAGAAGAUUAGUAAGUAAGGUGUAACGGUGACGAUCUUUUACAACAGGAUGUAGUUAGUAAGAGGAGGCAGAGAAGGAGGCGUAAAAAGUAAGAAGAAAAUUGCAAAGAAAAAAGAAAAAAAAAGAACAAGAAAAGGAACACCAGCGAGAGCCAUUGAUAGAAGCGACGAAGCGAGGUCAGCUAUUUGUACGCGUGACAGACCCCUCCGGAGAAUCUCGUACGUGAACGGUCUUUACAUGACACGACUAAAAACCUUGAACUGUUUUAAAACGUAUAAUCAAAGGAUCAAAAUUCGUGACAAGUGAAGAAGAAGAAGAAGUUGAAGUGAUGAAGGUGAA
This 449-nucleotide long non-coding RNA is filed under the name Polistes fuscatus (common paper wasp). RNAcentral describes it as "uncharacterized LOC122526034". The record is from RNAcentral. Lineage: Eukaryota; Metazoa; Arthropoda; Insecta; Hymenoptera; Vespidae.